RNAcentral lists this ribosomal RNA (2591 nucleotides) under Shigella flexneri. RNAcentral describes it as "partial 23S ribosomal RNA". It matches the Rfam family "Bacterial large subunit ribosomal RNA", at positions 351 to 2925 of the family's 2925-position model. The record is from RNAcentral. Lineage: Bacteria; Pseudomonadati; Pseudomonadota; Gammaproteobacteria; Enterobacterales; Enterobacteriaceae.
CGUGCGAUACAGGGUGACAGCCCCGUACACAAAAAUGCACAUACUGUGAGCUCGAUGAGUAGGGCGGGACACGUGGUAUCCUGUCUGAAUAUGGGGGGACCAUCCUCCAAGGCUAAAUACUCCUGACUGACCGAUAGUGAACCAGUACCGUGAGGGAAAGGCGAAAAGAACCCCGGCGAGGGGAGUGAAAAAGAACCUGAAACCGUGUACGUACAAGCAGUGGGAGCACGCUUAGGCGUGUGACUGCGUACCUUUUGUAUAAUGGGUCAGCGACUUAUAUUCUGUAGCAAGGUUAACCGAAUAGGGGAGCCGAAGGGAAACCGAGUCUUAACUGGGCGUUAAGUUGCAGGGUAUAGACCCGAAACCCGGUGAUCUAGCCAUGGGCAGGUUGAAGGUUGGGUAACACUAACUGGAGGACCGAACCGACUAAUGUUGAAAAAUUAGCGGAUGACUUGUGGCUGGGGGUGAAAGGCCAAUCAAACCGGGAGAUAGCUGGUUCUCCCCGAAAGCUAUUUAGGUAGCGCCUCGUGAAUUCAUCUCCGGGGGUAGAGCACUGUUUCGGCAAGGGGGUCAUCCCGACUUACCAACCCGAUGCAAACUGCGAAUACCGGAGAAUGUUAUCACGGGAGACACACGGCGGGUGCUAACGUCCGUCGUGAAGAGGGAAACAACCCAGACCGCCAGCUAAGGUCCCAAAGUCAUGGUUAAGUGGGAAACGAUGUGGGAAGGCCCAGACAGCCAGGAUGUUGGCUUAGAAGCAGCCAUCAUUUAAAGAAAGCGUAAUAGCUCACUGGUCGAGUCGGCCUGCGCGGAAGAUGUAACGGGGCUAAACCAUGCACCGAAGCUGCGGCAGCGACGCUUAUGCGUUGUUGGGUAGGGGAGCGUUCUGUAAGCCUGUGAAGGUGUGCUGUGAGGUAUGCUGGAGGUAUCAGAAGUGCGAAUGCUGACAUAAGUAACGAUAAAGCGGGUGAAAAGCCCGCUCGCCGGAAGACCAAGGGUUCCUGUCCAACGUUAAUCGGGGCAGGGUGAGUCGACCCCUAAGGCGAGGCCGAAAGGCGUAGUCGAUGGGAAACAGGUUAAUAUUCCUGUACUUGGUGUUACUGCGAAGGGGGGACGGAGAAGGCUAUGUUGGCCGGGCGACGGUUGUCCCGGUUUAAGCGUGUAGGCUGGUUUUCCAGGCAAAUCCGGAAAAUCAAGGCCGAGGCGUGAUGACGAGGCACUACGGUGCUGAAGCAACAAAUGCCCUGCUUCCAGGAAAAGCCUCUAAGCAUCAGGUAACAUCAAAUCGUACCCCAAACCGACACAGGUGGUCAGGUAGAGAAUACCAAGGCGCUUGAGAGAACUCGGGUGAAGGAACUAGGCAAAAUGGUGCCGUAACUUCGGGAGAAGGCACGCUGAUACGUAGGUGAAGCGACUUGCUCGUGGAGCUGAAAUCAGUCGAAGAUACCAGCUGGCUGCAACUGUUUAUUAAAAACACAGCACUGUGCAAACACGAAAGUGGACGUAUACGGUGUGACGCCUGCCCGGUGCCGGAAGGUUAAUUGAUGGGGUUAGCGCAAGCGAAGCUCUUGAUCGAAGCCCCGGUAAACGGCGGCCGUAACUAUAACGGUCCUAAGGUAGCGAAAUUCCUUGUCGGGUAAGUUCCGACCUGCACGAAUGGCGUAAUGAUGGCCAGGCUGUCUCCACCCGAGACUCAGUGAAAUUGAACUCGCUGUGAAGAUGCAGUGUACCCGCGGCAAGACGGAAAGACCCCGUGAACCUUUACUAUAGCUUGACACUGAACAUUGAGCCUUGAUGUGUAGGAUAGGUGGGAGGCUUUGAAGUGUGGACGCCAGUCUGCAUGGAGCCGACCUUGAAAUACCACCCUUUAAUGUUUGAUGUUCUAACGUGGACCCGUGAUCCGGGUUGCGGACAGUGUCUGGUGGGUAGUUUGACUGGGGCGGUCUCCUCCUAAAGAGUAACGGAGGAGCACGAAGGUUGGCUAAUCCUGGUCGGACAUCAGGAGGUUAGUGCAAUGGCAUAAGCCAGCUUGACUGCGAGCGUGACGGCGCGAGCAGGUGCGAAAGCAGGUCAUAGUGAUCCGGUGGUUCUGAAUGGAAGGGCCAUCGCUCAACGGAUAAAAGGUACUCCGGGGAUAACAGGCUGAUACCGCCCAAGAGUUCAUAUCGACGGCGGUGUUUGGCACCUCGAUGUCGGCUCAUCACAUCCUGGGGCUGAAGUAGGUCCCAAGGGUAUGGCUGUUCGCCAUUUAAAGUGGUACGCGAGCUGGGUUUAGAACGUCGUGAGACAGUUCGGUCCCUAUCUGCCGUGGGCGCUGGAGAACUGAGGGGGGCUGCUCCUAGUACGAGAGGACCGGAGUGGACGCAUCACUGGUGUUCGGGUUGUCAUGCCAAUGGCACUGCCCGGUAGCUAAAUGCGGAAGAGAUAAGUGCUGAAAGCAUCUAAGCACGAAACUUGCCCCGAGAUGAGUUCUCCCUGACCCUUUAAGGGUCCUGAAGGAACGUUGAAGACGACGACGUUGAUAGGCCGGGUGUGUAAGCGCAGCGAUGCGUUGAGCUAACCGGUACUAAUGAACCGUGAGGCUUAACCUU